CCGAUGGCUGUGAAUACGAUUUGGGCCGCUUUAGCCAGAAGGGGCUUCCUAAUCUGAAAAGGUCUCAACCCAUUUUGGGUAAGUCUCUGUCUCGUUUUCUUUCGCUGGUGCUUCUUGUGUUAUUUUUGGUUUUUUGCUGAGUGGCGACCUGUUACAAACAGAUGAUGAGCCAGAAGUGAAGCCGGCUAAGAGGGUGAGGAAGAAUCUGUACAGGGGGAUCCGGCAGCGUCCUUGGGGAAAAUGGGCGGCUGAGAUUCGUGAUCCCAGUAAAGGGGUUCGGGUUUGGCUCGGGACCUUCAACACUGCGGAAGAAGCUGCGAGAGCUUACGACAGGGAGGCUCGGAAAAUUCGGGGGAAGAAAGCAAAGGUUAACUUCCCCAAUGAAGACGAUGACUACACUGAGAAUCACCAAAAUCACCGUGCUCUACCAACUCGCUGGAAC
Molecule: long non-coding RNA, 442 nt
Filed under: Vitis vinifera (wine grape)
Lineage: Eukaryota; Viridiplantae; Streptophyta; Magnoliopsida; Vitales; Vitaceae
Description: long non-coding RNA (VVIN_LNC002057)
Source: RNAcentral